This is a non-coding RNA of Misgurnus anguillicaudatus (oriental weatherfish), 2844 nucleotides long. NCBI's taxonomy places the organism in Eukaryota, Metazoa, Chordata, Actinopteri, Cypriniformes, Cobitidae. The record is from RefSeq and is a predicted model, not a curated record.
AUGCAUAAUUUCCGGAACACAUGGCAACACAGACCAUCGCGCAAACCAGGCUGCAGCCAUAGCAGCCAGAUUCAGCUGGGUAAACAAAGCGUAGUGCUAGCGAGCUACCCAGUAACGUUAGCCAAAUAGCGAUUCUGCAAAAUGGGAUUAAUAUAGAGAACAGCACCGUACAUUAUACGUUUUGAAAUAGUUAUAUAUAGUUUUCUUUAUCCAUUUCUAGUUAUGAUGACAAUACGUGAUUGAAUAGUUUGUGGGUCGUAUGUAGUAACGUUAGCUAAACCGUUAGCUAGUUAGAUUUUAGUGAAGCUGCAUUGAUUCGCAUAGGGAGCUAAAUUGAUCUUUAAGGGACGUUUAAAGUUUUAAAUGACACAUCAGUAAUUAAUUGCAAUGCUUUUAAUCUUUAGUUUGUUUCCCUCAUUGGCUCUUAGCAAAACCUAAAACAAUGUCUGUACUCAAAUGUUUACACGUUGUACAGAUAGGCAGAUAACCUUUUGAUUAAAAAGCCAAAACGGCUGUCAUGAAAUUAUAACCCCACUUUUAAUAAUUUGGGGUGAAAUGUUCAAUCUGAUGGCGAACUGCUGCAACUGGUUGAAACGAUGGAGAGAACCUGCAAGGAAGGUGACACUUGUUAUGGUCGGACUGGACAAUGUCGGAAAAACAGCUACAGUCAGAGGUAUCCAGGGAGAAAGCCCUUUAGAUGUAGCACCUACAGUGGGCUUCUCAAAGGUGGAUCUGAAGCAAGGAAAGUUUGAGGUCACAAUCUUUGACCUAGGUGGUGGGAAGCGUAUUCGUGGGAUUUGGAAAAACUACUACUCGGAGUCUUAUGGAGUGGUGUUUGUUGUGGACUCCAGCGAUGUUCAGAGGAUCCAAGAGACCAGAGACACAAUAGCAGAGGUCCUUCGUCACCCUCGUAUUGCAGGAAAACCUGUAUUAGUACUGGCUAAUAAACAGGACCAAGACGGUGCAUUGGCUGAAGCAGAUAUCAUCGAGAGCCUAUCAUUGGAGAAGCUUGUCAACGAGAAUAAAUGCCUCUGUCAGAUUGAGCCAUGUUCCGCAGUGCUGGGUUACGGUAAGAAGGUGGACAAAUCCAUCAAAAAUGGCCUUAACUGGCUCCUGAACAAUAUUGCCAAGGACUAUGAGGCAAUUUCAGAGCGAGUGCAAAAAGAUACAGCAGAUCAGAAGGCUCAGGAAGAACAGGACAAGAAGGAAAGAGCAGAGAGAGUUCGAAAGAUCAGAGAGGAGAGAGACAGGCAGGAACGAGAGGAGGUGGAGCAAGAAGGAAUUGUGUUGAAAGACGAGGUGCUAGAUGAUAUUAAUAUGACCAACCCAUUCCAGCCAAUAAACAAUGUUGUCACAGAGGAUGACAGCAGACUGAAAAAGAAAAAAGACAUGCAGAGACAGAAAGACGUGAGCCACCAGGGCAACUCUCAAGAUCAGACAGUCCUUCAAGAUGAAGCGGAAGAGCAGGAAGAGGAAGAGAGUGAGAGGCAGACCCCAGAGAGCACUGAAUCAGGAGCAGUGGAUCAGGCCAAGAAGAAAACUAAGAAAUUACGACUGAAACGCAAGCACAGGGUUGACCCACUUAGAGUGGAGGAUGCAGCACCUAUAAGCCCUACCCCUCCUCCCCUACCAGUUGGAUGGGCAACCCCUAAAGUUUCUAGGCUCCCCAAACUUGGGCCUCUUGGAGAUGCAAGGCAUUCUGGUCCGGUCAGUACCCACCACCCUUCCCUGUUCACCCACAGUUUAUACUUUUUCUUAGAAAACCAACGGCUCUUUUAAGAGCCACUUCAAUAAUCAACUCACUCACUCACUCUCCUCAAAAAUGCCAGGCCAGGGGUCAACAACUAGAAAGUGUGUAGUCUGCCAUACACAACUAAAUGUAGCUUGCAAAACCUGCAACACAUGCAAGGUAGAGCAGCCACAUAAGCUUCGGGUAAAAAAUAACUGAAGAAAUGUGAUCAGAAGCGGGAGAGCUGGGUGCAUGAUGAAGAUAUGCUGGCCUGGAAGAAAACCAAAUGCUUGGGGGUCUGAGGUUCUGACACCCCGUUGUCACUUGACUGAGACAUCCAUUACAUGCUUGGAAAGAUUAAAGAACCUAUUCAAGGCGGGACCUCACAAGGUGUUGCAGAACAAGUCAAUAAAACCUCAUCAGCCCGAGUUGAAUCCAAAUGGACCAACCUGAUCUCCAGGUACCAGUGGCCCUGCCUCAUACCAGAGCAGCUCCAACUGGACCACCAGCAGCCCUUAUUGCACCACCAAAGUCCCCAAUUUGACAGCCAGUAUCCCUUUUAGGACCCUCAGGACACCAUGCAACCCCACUGCAACAAUCUGGGAAAAGAAACCCAUUACCCAGAUGGACCCCCAAGAGCCUCCCCAGUUUCUCUUGGAAAAGAUGGUGUGAAAGAAGGCUUUCCAGCUCUGACUACAGUGCGGCCAGAUCAAAGGAAAGGGCCAGAAAUGGAAGCAGGUGGAGUGGGAGCCGUGCAAACUUUGAUAAAAGAAGUGGCCAUUGGAGUGGGUGGCGGAUGGGGACACUUGUUAGUGCUUCGGCAUCUUCUUGGGGACCUAAUACAAUAAGAAGCACUAUUAUUUUCUCUGUGUAACUUGUUUUUCUUUUAUGUUUUAAACAAACCAUUGUUUCCUGGACCCUUUUAUUGCUCCUCCUUUCACUUGCUUUUUUGCUCUUUUUUGGAUAUUAAUACUGAAUAUUGUUAAAACUGUUUUGCAACCAAAUUAUUGUCAAUUUAACUGUUUUAAUUGAUGUUAUAUCCUACUGUGAUGUAAUGAUGUUAAGUACAGUGAGUCUAUUUACUUUACUUUUUUCAAUAAACAUUGAGGAAUUCA